CGCGUAGGCGGUUUGUUUAGUUAGGCGUGAAAUUCCUGGGCUUAACCUGGGGGACUGCGCUUAAUACAGGCAGACUUGAGUUCGGAAGAGGGUCGUGGAAUUCCCAGUGUAGAGGUGAAAUUCGUAGAUAUUGGGAAGAACACCGGUGGCGAAGGCGGCGACCUGGUCCGAUACUGACGCUGAGGCGCGAAAGUGUGGGGAGCAAACA
Molecule: ribosomal RNA, 208 nt
Filed under: uncultured bacterium
Lineage: Bacteria
Description: partial 16S ribosomal RNA
Rfam family: Bacterial small subunit ribosomal RNA
Source: RNAcentral